Non-coding RNA from Cronartium quercuum f. sp. fusiforme G11, 87 nucleotides. Lineage: Eukaryota; Fungi; Basidiomycota; Pucciniomycetes; Pucciniales; Coleosporiaceae. The record is from the annotation of a GenBank genome assembly.
GGGGUGUUAGCUCAUUUGGUAGAGCGUUCGCUUCGCAUGUUGCGAAGAUCCUGCGAAAGGUCCGGGGUUCGACUCCCCGAUGCUCCA